This 138-nucleotide ribosomal RNA is filed under the name Pogona vitticeps (central bearded dragon). The record is from RNAcentral. Lineage: Eukaryota; Metazoa; Chordata; Lepidosauria; Squamata; Agamidae.
AUGGACUACUAUACCACUGUAAACGCACCUAAUCUUGUCUGAUUUCAGGAGCUAACCAGGGUCAAGCCUGUGUGAAUGCCUGGAAGAGAAACCACCAAAAAAGACUGGUUCACUGGUUUGGGUCAGGUUGUGUUUGUC